Molecule: small nucleolar RNA, 107 nt
Organism: Hibiscus syriacus
Lineage: Eukaryota; Viridiplantae; Streptophyta; Magnoliopsida; Malvales; Malvaceae
Source: RefSeq, a predicted model, not a curated record
AGACCAUGUGUAGGACAUCUACACAGUAAAUCCUUAAAACGCUCUCAUGUAGUAUGGACGUUCUCAUGGUUAGCUUGGUCAAAAUAAGUGAUAUUAUUUUGUAGCUU